Long non-coding RNA from Pongo pygmaeus (Bornean orangutan), 5589 nucleotides. RefSeq lists it as uncharacterized. The record is from RefSeq and is a predicted model, not a curated record. The transcript is spliced from 2 exons. NCBI's taxonomy places the organism in Eukaryota, Metazoa, Chordata, Mammalia, Primates, Hominidae.
GGAGUACAUGACAAACAAACAAGGAAAUGCAAAAAAUAUUAUGGACAAGCCCUAUGCGGCAAAAUAGGAAAGGAUAAUACAGAGUGGGUGGUUAAAUUACUCUAAAUUGUUUGAUCAGAGAAAGGUCUUUAUGAGGCAGCAUUUAAAUAGAGAUCUGAAGGAAAAAGAAUCAGUCCUGCAAAGAUCAGCAGAACAAUCCAGGAAGAAAGAACAGCUAAUGGAAUAUGAGCCUGGAAAAGAGAAAGGCCUCUGUGGCUAGAAUAGCACUCUCUAAUAGAAAUAUAAUGUGAGCCAUGUAUGUAAUUUUUAAUUUUCUAGUAGCUUCAAUGAACAAAGUACAAAAUAAAUAGGUAAACUUAAUUUUAACAAAAUAUUUUAUUUAACCCAAUAUAUCCAAAAUGUUAUCAUAAACCUGUAAAUAUAAAAAUUAUUAACGAGAUAAUAUUAUUAUCUGAGAUAAUAUUACAUGAUUUUUCAUAAGUCUGAAAUUCAAGGUAUAUUUUAUACUCACAGCACAUCUCAAUUUGGACUAGCCACAUUUCAAGGAUUCAACAGCUCCUAAGACUAGUGGCUAGCUUACUGGAUAGCACAGGGCUAGAGCAUAGUAGGCAAAGGGGACAGGGAAACUCAAUGAGGUGGAGAGGCAGGCAGGCACCAGGUCACAUUCAGCUUCAGACAACAAAGUUAAGGAACUGGAUUUCAUUUUAAUUGAAAUGAGAAUAGACUGCAGUUUUUUAACAGGUAAUCAUACAGAAGUUCUGAAAAGAUCAUGCUGUGGUGAAUGAAUUAUUGGGGAGCACCAAGAGAAGCAGAGAGACCAGGUAGGAGGCUGCUGUGGUAGUGCAGGUGAAAGACAAUAGUAGCUCGGCUUCUGGUGGUUAGUAAAGGGAGGGGGAAAUAAAUGGAUAGAUACGGAUAUGUUUUGAAAGUAUAGCUAACAGGACUUGCUGGUGGACUGGAUAGAGGGAGAGGGAAAAAAGCAGCAAGGAUAAUGACUUCUGGAAAAAUUAUUUGAGAUAUUUGUUGUUGUGGGUAUAACAGGAAGCCUUCAUCCGAGGCAAUAUGAACUAUGUCACACCAUGGGCAAAAUAACCACAUUAAUAGAUAUUUACAACGAUUCUAACUAAUAAAUAAAUUCAUCAUUUACUUAAUGAUAAAACCAUCUCUAUAAAAUUUGGCUUCUUACUUCUUCAGUGUAAAACAACAAUAACACCUACAGUAAGAUAUUUUGAAAUUCAAACUACAACAGGCAGAAUUAAAGAAAAUAGCAUCAAGUUUAAAAUGGCAAGGAAGGUGGUCAUAUUUAUUUACUUUAAACCAAACAAUCUUAGAGCGGUGAAGGAAACUUUAUAAACUAACCAUCUGAUCCAAUCCUAUUUUACAUACAAGGAAAUGGAAACUUAGAGAAGUAAUUAGUCCAAGGUUUCAUGGGAAAUCAGGAAAAAGAUCCAAUUAAACUGAACUGGAUUCCCACUCAGGUUGGGAAUGUAUCUCUCAUUUCUAUAAACCCAUUGCCUACCAUAAUGCCGGGAAUACUGCAGAGAUCAAAAGUUUUUGUUUAAUGAAUGAAUAAGAACAAUAAAAACAAACAAAAACGGGCCUUUAGUGGCUCUCUUAGAAAUAAGACUGUAUAUAACAUAUAUUCGAACAGCAACUUUAAAGCCAAAGAAUGCCACAGGAAAAUACAUAAUGUAUCUGAAUCUCAUAUGAAUCAAUCUUGACAUGAAUAAGCAUAAGAAACCUCUUUUUCUAUAAAUAAUGUACUGACCUAAAAGUUGGAAGAUGUUUGUUUCUUUUUUAUUUGUAAUAAUUUACUAUUUUGCAUCUCAGAAAAAUGUCCUUGCAGGUAACAGUCUGCCGAAACAGCACUUAGCAAGUCCCACUAAGCCAACAACAUAAUGAAUUCUUGUGAAGUAUCAAGUACAUAAAACAGUCACUCCUACAAUGAUAGUGUAGCCCAUGAAAUAAGUAAUACCUGAUUUGGUAGAAUCACUGUUACUCUCUAGACACUCAGGUACUAAAAUCAUGUGGAAAUGAUAAUAUAAUUUUAAAUUAAGUCACUUUUGACUCAGAAUUAGGACAAAGGCUUUCCAGUACCAGAAAAGAGAACCGCUUCCAGGCCUAGUGUUGCACAAUAUGAGACUUUUAGGCUAAGGGCAGUUUUUAGACCUUUUGUGUUAACAGCAGUUUUCUUGGCACUUUCUAGUCCUCACAGCAGUGAGCUAUAGAUCUCAAACUGCUAUAAUUGUCAACCCUAUUGUUAAUAACAGGAGACAGACAAGAACCAUUGACUACCAUAAAAUUAAAGGCCUAAUCUUUUACCAGCAUCUAAUGCCAACAUCUUCCAAAGGGGCUGAUCCACUUCACAUAACUAAAAUAUGAGUGGAAUAAAUUUACCACAGUCACAAAGGAGCAGACCUUGGCAUUGCAAGGUUUAAAGCAAAGAUCUUCUGUUCUUUGAAUUUAGAUAGAAAGGGAAAUUGCAUAUGGGCCAGAGCUCAUUGCUGUUUACUAAGAGACCACACCCCUCCCAUCAUAGCUUUUGUAGUUCAGGGCCAGACAAUAAAGAAGGGAAUUACCAGCUAGAAGAAGGUUUCAAACCUUUCUUUAGAUAUCUGAACUGCCUUAGGUCCUCAUACAUAAAUUCUGUAGAAGGGAAAUAAAUUACUUUGUAUAAUAUCAGAAUAUCAGUAAGCCGAACUACACUGUUGCUAUUUUUCUUUAAUAAAUAAGAAAGGAACAAAGAAAAAGAGGGAAAGAAGGAAACAAAAAAAAAGAGGAAAAGCAAUCAGGAGGAAUCCUGAUGUCAAUAUUUAAUAGUGCACAAAAUAUGGUAAGUGGAGGAUUAAACAAAGGAAUCAAAAUAAUCUUACAGAACAAUCUUGCUCUUUAAGAUAAAAGCUUUUCUCCAUAUUUGUGGCAGAACUGAACUAAAGGAAACAUUUUUUUUCUUUCAUGGUUUCGUGUUUCCACAAACUAAAAAAGAGAACUACCAAGAAAAAAUUACAUUAUUUCUAUUCUUUCCAUAUUUGUUCAGAGAAAUAGACAAAAACCAGUCUGCCACUGUCCCAUCUAGCACCGGUUUUGUCAUAAGGCUCUUAAGGAGCUUAAAAGUAACCAGAUUUAAACAAUAGAUACGCUGCCCAUUUUAUUUACAAACAUGUUGGGCCCAAUUCAUCUAUUUUCCCUGACAUCCUAAAUUAUUAGAGAAAAUGGCAUAAUAAUUAAAUGCCACAUUUCUUGAAGCUGAAUGACAUUUUCUCCCACCUCCCAAUUUUUGUUUUUCUAGAAACAGUAAACAAUGUAAGUCAGGUCACAGCAGAAAGGUCAUACACUACCAUUUUAAAGCUCUAAUGUCCAAAUUUAGUGAAGUAAAGGGACUUGACCUAAAGAUACAGUUACCAUAGUUUAUAUGUGUUCAUUCAGAUGACAGUUUUUUUCACGUCAUCUCUAAAGGUUAGAGAAAGAGGGCUCCUGGUUUAAAAUAAAUACUUACUUAAAUUAAUAUACUUCAGACAGUGGGGUUUAAUGUAUAGAAUUAAAGUAUCUUGCCUGAGAAUGGUCAGAAAUCUUUGUCUCUGCAUGGGCUAAGUUAGUUAAACAAUGAACUUUCCAUAUCUCCAAAUUGAGAGACUGCCUGAAGAUGAUCUUUAAAAUCCUUCUCCACUCCAAAAUCCAGUCACCAAAAUACAGUAUUUUAUUUAAAUAUGGAGAAAAAAAGAUCUUGUUUUGGCUGUUAUUUUCUCAGUCUUUAUGUAACGUUCUACAAUAUUGGUCAUAUUUGGUGGCGGGUUGGGGGGAUGAGUUUAUUUCCCAUCCAUCCUGGCCCAACUAAUUUUAGACCCUAAUAUGAAAACACCAUGUUUAAUUUGUAACACCUAUGUCUAGUCACAGAAACACUGUAAAGCCCAAAUUUAGCUGCGAAGCUCCACUGAAAGAAAAAGCAAAAGAAAAGAAGUACACAGUGUUAAGCAUACAAUGCUUAACAUUUUAUACAAAAUGAAAAUGCACUGACUUUUUACCUUUCAUGACACUUUCAUCUAUGCUGUUUCUCAUCUAUGCUGCUUCUCAUAAUUUUGUGUAAAUUUAAAAACUUUUCUCCUGUUUUCUGCUUAGGUUCUUAUUGUGAUAGACAGUAUACAUACCAUAGAACUACUUUCCAAAAAUUUCACGUGGCCAUCAACAAUGUCACUUAUCAAGCUCUAAAUUUCUGGAAUGAUGUUGACCAGUAGCAGGCUUUCUAAAAAUGCUUUCUAGAUCACAUCUACCUUUGUGACAGUAUCGUUAAAUAAGUUGUAUCAAGGGGAACAUGCCAGAAUGUUUCACAAAGUUUAUUGAACCUAGCAUUUACUGUUGCUAUAGAAACAAACUACCAUAGCUGAAUUUAAAAGGUUGGUACAGAAUCAAUUGGGCAGACAUGAAUAGCUCAAAUUAAGCAAUUAAGAAUUCAAGACUAUAAUGAAUGAAACUCUCCUCUGAUCCAAUAAUGGGUUAAUCCUUUCUUAAUAUCAAAUAUCUUCCAGUAGAACUCAGUAGAGUUCUGGCUGUGAACAGUUUAUGCCUUAACCUUUUGAGUGACAAUACUGUACUUGAAUACUUGAAUUCCUGUCUCUUUUAUGAAUGAGUCAUCACUAAUCCUCAAAUGAACUAUUAAUUCUAAUAAAUAUGGUCCAGAUGUUAUAAUACUUUACUGGUGGAUUAAUAGGCUUUCCCCAAACCUUUUACCUUAUGCUCUAAUCAUUUACAGGCAUUUUGCGGAUGAAGGCUUUAAUGCUCCGGGAAGAACUAACUAGAGAACUAACUGCCUUACAGAAAACCAUUGGGAGGAAACGUCUAUAAAUCUGAAAACAAGAACAAAUUUUAAAAGUUGGAAAAAAAAAAAAAAAAAAAGGAGAUAUGUGAGCUUCAAAGUUGGAAGAAAUUAAGCAAUAUGCUUUGGAAUCUAUGGUGAUCUAUAGAAAGGUAAAGCGUUUCUGGACUCACCCUGACUGAUGGAAAGACAGACUGCCUGCCAGGACACUACCCUGCUGUACCCAGUCUUAAGUAUAAUCAAGAUCUCAUUUUUUACUGUCAAUGCAAGCCACAUUUUCCUAUUAGGAAAAUAUGAAUGAAACAAAGUGCUCUUCAAGAGCAAACCCUGAAUUAUACUUUGGGUUAUUCUCUGUUCCUGAAAAGGAUUUUGCGUUUAACCGAUAGUCUCCAAAUUUUAAUGACAGUAUAUAGAUAGCUUGGUGUAGACAUACAGGUCAAUACAAAUGGUGAAAAGGCAAUUUGCCAUUGAAGAAUAUGUUUGCUUUAAGUAAAGAUCAAUAUACUAAGAAAGCUAUACAUAUCUAGACUUCCAAAAACAGAUGGGAAUAAACCACUCAGCAAUCAGAAAAUUCAAAGAUGUCACUCUGUUCACUUCCAGAGAAAAUAGUUCAAAACUGUAUCUCAAAGUGGAUAUAAGCUAUUGUACUAGAAUUAGUCCCUGUAUGAGCAUUUGGCAUUAUAAAAUAAGGUGUUCUCAAUGAAAAGAUCACUGGUAUGUAGAUAAUGAAACUUGAAAAUAAAAAUUUAAAAAUAAAACAAAAAUUAUGUGAUAACAAA